RNAcentral lists this small RNA (466 nucleotides) under Histoplasma ohiense. RNAcentral describes it as "hypothetical lncRNA". The record is from RNAcentral. Lineage: Eukaryota; Fungi; Ascomycota; Eurotiomycetes; Onygenales; Ajellomycetaceae.
UGCCAUUGGUCCGCGGGGAAGGUUCUGUAGCGCUGUUGAGGUUGUAUCAAGCAUAGAUAAGUAUAUUUAUUUGCAAGGCCGCCUCCGGGAGAUGGCCAGGCACUGACUGAAAACGGUCUGUGCGAGUUUCUGUGUCUGAUGGGCAUUCCCGAGGGGUUCCUCCCGCUCAGCGGCGCUUUUGCCGUGUGACAUGCGUCCAACUGGCUCUGAUGCCGGAGGGAGAGCGCUGCAUAGUAAUCCGUUAUUGCCCAGCCAAGCGUGGGAUCUACGGCGUAAAAAGAAAAGAAAGGGGGAAACUCUCCGAUCCCUUCGUCCCCCUUCCACGGACUUAUUUGCCAUUUACGGGAACGCGGUGUCGGUAGCACUCGUAUGUAAGGUAAAUACCAUAAUCAUGAUAUUCGCCCUUCUAUUGACAGGGGCGAGCUUGUUUACUUCACUUCUGUUUUUGCCAGGGGGAAAAAAAGAA